AUGACUAGCUCCCAGAGACACAGAGCUAGAAACAACCACACACCUCUGCCUAAGUCUAGGCAGCUCCUUCGGCCUUCCCAGAUGGAGGACAUCUCAGGACCGUGCUUCCUCUCCUGUAAUAACAUUCUGUGGCGUGAAGAAUGCAGCCACGUCUGUAGAAACAGCCAAACACUCUCCCCGGUGGUUGUUCACUUUGCCUUGCCCCGACCACGCGUGAAGACUUCUGGUGCCCAUGUCUUUCCAGCCCAGGUUAGGGUUCUAGUGGGGGAGGUGGUGUCUGACUGCAGCUUUCUUUUUGUUUGUUUUUUGAGGUACCUGUGACUGAAUGCAGGGCCUUUACACAUAGUGACACCCCCACCCCCCUUUUUUAUUUCUGUUUUGCGACAGGGUCUCCUUAAGUUGCUACAUUUUCCAAGCUGAGCC
RNAcentral lists this long non-coding RNA (423 nucleotides) under Fukomys damarensis (Damara mole-rat). Its description in RNAcentral is "lncRNA (ENSFDAG00000031981.1)". Lineage: Eukaryota; Metazoa; Chordata; Mammalia; Rodentia; Bathyergidae. The record is from RNAcentral.